This 417-nucleotide ribosomal RNA is filed under the name uncultured bacterium. RNAcentral describes it as "bacterial SSU rRNA". It matches the Rfam family "Bacterial small subunit ribosomal RNA", at positions 34 to 437 of the family's 1533-position model. The record is from RNAcentral.
CGUUAGCGGCGCGCCUAACACAUGCAAGUCGCACGAGAAAGGGCUUCGGCCCCGGUACAGUGGCGCACGGGUGAGUAACACGUGGGUAAUCUGCCUUCGGGUGGGGGAUAACAUUCCGAAAGGAGUGCUAAUACCGCAUAAGACCACGAGCUGUACGCAGCACGGGGUAAAAGCUGGCCUCUUCAUGAAAGCUAGCACUUGAGGAUGAGUCCGCGGCCCAUCAGCUAGUUGGUAGUGUAAAAGACUACCAAGGCUAAGACGGGUAGCUGGUCUGAGAGGAUGAUCAGCCACACUGGAACUGAGACACGGUCCAGACUCCUACGGGAGGCAGCAGUGGGGAAUCUUGCGCAACGGGCGAAAGCCUGACGCAGCGACGCCGCGUGGGUGAUGAAGGCCUUCGGGUUGUAAAGCCCUGUG